UGACAGUUGACACGCCAUUUCAAAACAAGGCUCUAAUGUCACGAGACGCCGAACUGCAACAGCGACGCCAAACAGGGAUACGUGAGACGUUUUGGCAAGGCUGGAGGACUCGAAGAAGCGCAAGGCUGCUGCGCAGAAGGGGACGCUCGCCGAGCUACUGCCACGGUCACUUCAGCCAGGGCGACAGCCAAGGAACUUGUCAAAGCAGCAGUUUGAAAAGGUGUUUGAUAUGCUGAAAAACAGGUGUGGAAACACUUUAGUCAUGGGCCAUAGGAUUAAAAACACACUGACCAAAUCAUCGGAAACUUCAAAUGAAG
Sinocyclocheilus anshuiensis is the source of this 317-nucleotide long non-coding RNA. RefSeq lists it as uncharacterized. The record is from RefSeq and is a predicted model, not a curated record. The transcript has 4 exons. NCBI's taxonomy places the organism in Eukaryota, Metazoa, Chordata, Actinopteri, Cypriniformes, Cyprinidae.